RNAcentral lists this ribosomal RNA (767 nucleotides) under Salmonella enterica subsp. enterica serovar Chester. RNAcentral's name for it is "partial 23S ribosomal RNA". It matches the Rfam family "Bacterial large subunit ribosomal RNA", at positions 548 to 1215 of the family's 2925-position model. The record is from RNAcentral. Lineage: Bacteria; Pseudomonadati; Pseudomonadota; Gammaproteobacteria; Enterobacterales; Enterobacteriaceae.
ACCUGAAACCGUGUACGUACAAGCAGUGGGAGCCCCACCACUAAGCCAGUGGUGAACUCCACAUACGCAUCCUUUGCUGAGGAUACGGUUAACGGAGCGAAAGCGACGUUCAACCGCAAAAGAAGCAGAGGGGGCUUAGUGGUGGGGUGACUGCGUACCUUUUGUAUAAUGGGUCAGCGACUUAUAUUCUGUAGCAAGGUUAACCGUAUAGGGGAGCCGGAGGGAAACCGAGUCUUAAUUGGGCGUUAAGUUGCAGGGUAUAGACCCGAAACCCGGUGAUCUAGCCAUGGGCAGGUUGAAGGUUGGGUAACACUAACUGGAGGACCGAACCGACUAAUGUUGAAAAAUUAGCGGAUGACCUGUGGCUGGGGGUGAAAGGCCAAUCAAACCGGGAGAUAGCUGGUUCUCCCCGAAAGCUAUUUAGGUAGCGCCUCGUGAAUUCAUCUCCGGGGGUAGAGCACUGUUUCGGCUAGGGGGCCAUCCCGGCUUACCAACCCGAUGCAAACUGCGAAUACCGGAGAAUGUUAUCACGGGAGACACACGGCGGGUGCUAACGUCCGUCGUGAAGAGGGAAACAACCCAGACCGCCAGCUAAGGUCCCAAAGUCAUGGUUAAGUGGGAAACGAUGUGGGAAGGCCCAGACAGCCAGGAUGUUGGCUUAGAAGCAGCCAUCAUUUAAAGAAAGCGUAAUAGCUCACUGGUCGAGUCGGCCUGCGCGGAAGAUGUAACGGGGCUAAACCAUGCACCGAAGCUGCGGCAGCGACGCU